This 498-nucleotide ribosomal RNA is filed under the name uncultured bacterium. Its description in RNAcentral is "partial 16S ribosomal RNA". It matches the Rfam family "Bacterial small subunit ribosomal RNA", at positions 29 to 523 of the family's 1533-position model. The record is from RNAcentral.
AUUGAACGCUGGCGGCAUGCUUUACACAUGCAAGUCGAACGGCAGCGCGGGGCAACCUGGCGGCGAGUGGCGAACGGGUGAGUAAUAUAUCGGAACGUACCCAGAAGUGGGGGAUAACGUAGCGAAAGUUACGCUAAUACCGCAUACGAUCUACGGAUGAAAGUGGGGGACCUUCGGGCCUCAUGCGCUUGGAGCGGCGGAUAUCGGAUUAGCGAGUUGGUGAGGUAAAGGCUCACCAAGGCGACGAUCAGUAGCUGGUCUGAGAGGACGACCAGCCACACUGGGACUGAGACACGGCCCAGACUCCUACGGGAGGCAGCAGUGGGGAAUUUUGGACAAUGGGCGCAAGCCUGAUCCAGCAAUGCCGCGUGAGUGAAGAAGGCCUUCGGGUUGUAAAGCUCUUUUGUCAGGGAAGAAACGGCCGAGGAUAAUACCUUCGGCUAAUGACGGUACCUGAAGAGUAAGCACCGGCUAACUACGUGCCAGCCGCCGCCGUAA